RNAcentral lists this ribosomal RNA (253 nucleotides) under uncultured bacterium. Its description in RNAcentral is "partial 16S ribosomal RNA". It matches the Rfam family "Bacterial small subunit ribosomal RNA", at positions 524 to 776 of the family's 1533-position model. The record is from RNAcentral.
UACGUAUGGUGCAAGCGUUAUCCGGAAUUACUGGGUGUAAAGGGAGCGUAGACGGUAAUGUAAGUCUGGAGUGAAAGGCGGGGGCCCAACCCCCGGACUGCUCUGGAAACUAUGUUACUAGAGUGCAGGAGAGGUAAGCGGAAUUCCUAGUGUAGCGGUGAAAUGCGUAGAUAUUAGGAGGAACACCAGUGGCGAAGGCGGCUUACUGGACUGUAACUGACGUUGAGGCUCGAAAGCGUGGGGAGCAAACAGG